AAUAGCUGGCAUUUUUUGUUAUUUGCUUAUAGGCUUCUUAGUUUUUGUGUAUAAUUAGGCUUUUCGUUUGAUCUGCAUUGAUUUGCGCAAACAUGGGAGUCUCAUUUCAACUUUUCACUCUUGCAUGCUUGUUCCUUGCUCACAGUGGAAUAUGCCAAGAACGUGCUGUUUUCUGGCCACCAUAUGAAAGUCACUUGCUGCAAUCUACCAAAGCUCAAAUCUCGAAACCAGCGCCAGACUGGGAGGGUACAGCCAUUGUUGAUGGUGAAAUUAAAACAAUAAAGCUGGGAGAUUACAAAGGAAAAUACCUUAUUUUCUUUUUUUACCCUCUUGAUUUCACUUUUGUAUGUCCAACUGAGAUCAUUGCCUUCUCAGACAGGGUUGCUGAGUUUAAGAAAAUUAAUGCUGAAGUUGUGGCAGCUUCUGUUGAUUCUCACUUCACCCAUCUCGCAUGGUUAAACACCCAUCGCUCUGAGGGAGGUCUUGGAAAACUCAACAUUCCUCUUCUGUCCGAUCUCACUCAUAAGAUAUCAAGGGAUUAUGGAGUCCUUCUGGAGGACCUCGGACACACUCUUCGUGGGCUCUUCAUCAUUGAUCCCAAAGGUAUCUUGAGACAGAUCACUAUGAAUGAUCUUCCAGUUGGAAGAUCUGUAGACGAGACUUUGAGAUUGGUCCAAGCAUUCCAACAUACUGAUGAGCAUGGUGAGGUCUGUCCUGCUGGUUGGGAGCCAGGUAAAGACACCAUUAUUCCAGACCCCAAGGAUAAACUGAAGUACUUCCACAAAACAUCAAAAGCCAAGGGUGAAUUGUAAACUGUUGAAAUGUCAUCUGUGUCUUGUUUUGUUGGUUGUUGUUGUUUGUAGGGUGUGUGUUUGUUUAAGAUGAAGCAGCUGUAGGGUUAUCAGUGCAAUUUCAAGAAAGAAAUAGUUUAAUCACUUUAAUGUGUCUGUUUUCAAGAAAGCAAUAGUUUAAUCCCUUUAAGUGUCUGUUAAAAGCUGUGCGUAUUUAUCUUAAACUUUUGUAAAAUUUAGCAGCCUUUAAAUUGAAAAAAAAACUGUUAUGUUUGUUGCUAUUAUCUAAUUGUGCCAAAGUUAAGUUUCUGUACCAAAAUUAUAUUGUAAUUCAUUUUCUAAAACAAUUGUGUCAUGUUCUGCAAUUUAAUUGUGUCGGACUGUCGGUUACCUGUAUGUGUAAUAAAGCAAUGUUUUUGCGAUUUUGUUGGUCAUGUAUUGUAUGUGUGGACUAAAAUGUGUUUAUGUUUCGUUUCAACA
Molecule: RNA transcript, 1271 nt
Organism: Ciona intestinalis (vase tunicate)
Lineage: Eukaryota; Metazoa; Chordata; Ascidiacea; Phlebobranchia; Cionidae
Gene name: peroxiredoxin pseudogene
Source: RefSeq, a predicted model, not a curated record